RNAcentral lists this ribosomal RNA (253 nucleotides) under uncultured bacterium. RNAcentral describes it as "partial 16S ribosomal RNA". It matches the Rfam family "Archaeal small subunit ribosomal RNA", at positions 474 to 727 of the family's 1478-position model. The record is from RNAcentral.
UACCAGCACCCCGAGUGGUCGGGACGAUUAUUGGGCCUAAAGCAUCCGUAGCCGGUUCUACAAGUCUCCCGUUAAAUCCACCUGCUUAACAGAUGGGCUGCGGAGGAUACUAUAGAGCUAGGAGGCGGGAGAGGCAAGCGGUACUUAGUGGGUAGGGGUAAAAUCCGUUGAUCCAUUGAAGACCACCAGUGGCGAAGGCGGCUUGCCAGAACGCACUCGACGGUGAGGGAUGAAAGCUGGGGGAGCAAACCGG